This is a long non-coding RNA of Numida meleagris (helmeted guineafowl), 885 nucleotides long. RefSeq lists it as uncharacterized. NCBI's taxonomy places the organism in Eukaryota, Metazoa, Chordata, Aves, Galliformes, Numididae. The record is from RefSeq and is a predicted model, not a curated record. The transcript has 2 exons.
CCGCGGAGGGCGGAGCGGCUGCGGAGGAAGGGGAAAGCGAGCACUCUGCUCUCGUUCUGGGCAGCAGCGUGCCGCUCAAGGGGACCUCACCAGGUGAAGCAGAAUCUCCACCUCUGAAGCAGCACUACUCUCAGUACAAGCAGCACUUGUGAACAGUCCAUGCAGCAAAAUGCCAGCACCUCCUAGCACUGACGGUUGCUGCCAUACUAAGCCUAACAAUACAUCUGUUGUAGGACAGAUUCUAUGAUUAUAGAAACACUGAGGAGCUCCUGCCUUUCUUUAAAAAAAAAAGUGCCUUUAGCAUACUGAAGUUGACUCUGCCCUCAGUACAGACAGUUCAAUGUCCGCACAUUUUUAAUGUUACACUUAGUGUCACACACAUAUCUUCUCCCCUUCCUCCCCCCAAGUUUUAAUGAGACAUGGAAGCUUCUGCAUCACAUACCUGAUAUUACACCUCAGUAAGUUUUACAGAGCCUCAUUUUGUAAGUGACUGACUGUGCUGCUGAAGACAUAAAAGUGAAAGAGCAGAAAAAGGCAGCUUCCAGAGAGCACUUUCCUUGCCACGAUUGUGAGAAGACUACUUCCGCACCAGGAGAGAGACAACUAUUUCAGAUGGAAAUCACCGUUUAGUGCACAGAAAUGACAGUAAAGACAACUAAAAUAAAAACAAAAGCUAAGUUUCAAUUUAUACAGUGAUUAACAGAUCCCACUAACAAAUUUUGCAGCAUCAUCCCCGAAACUACUUUUCAGUCUGUCAGAACAAACAUCCCAGCUUUGGAGAUGCUAGACUACAGAGAGAUCCUUAGUUAAAUACAAAGCAUUGAAUUGGCCCUGUUUGCAUCAGUCUUUAUUGGCUCUGAAUAAAUGCACUGUCUUGAAAGCCUA